Molecule: ribosomal RNA, 492 nt
Filed under: uncultured bacterium
Lineage: Bacteria
Description: partial 16S ribosomal RNA
Rfam family: Bacterial small subunit ribosomal RNA
Source: RNAcentral
AGUGAACGCUGGCGGUAGGCCUAACACAUGCAAGUCGAACGGCAGCACAGUAAGAGCUUGCUCUUACGGGUGGCGAGUGGCGGACGGGUGAGGAAUACAUCGGAAUCUACUUUUUCGUGGGGGAUAACGUAGGGAAACUUACGCUAAUACCGCAUACGUCCUACGGGUGAAAGCAGGGGAUCUUCGGACCUUGCGCGAUUGAAUGAGCCGAUGUCGGAUUAGCUAGUUGGCGGGGUAAAGGCCCACCAAGGCGACGAUCCGUAGCUAGUCUGAGAGGAUGAUCAGCCACACUGGAACUGAGACACGGUCCAGACUCCUACGGGAGGCAGCAGUGGGGAAUAUUGGACAAUGGGCGCAAGCCUGAUCCAGCCAUACCGCGUGGGUGAAGAAGGCCUUCGGGUUGUAAAGCCCUUUUGUUGGGAAAGAAAAGCAGCAGGUUAAUACCCCGCUGUUCUGACGGUACCCAAAGAAUAAGCACCGGCUAACUUCGUG